Molecule: ribosomal RNA, 392 nt
Filed under: uncultured bacterium
Lineage: Bacteria
Description: partial 16S ribosomal RNA
Rfam family: Bacterial small subunit ribosomal RNA
Source: RNAcentral
AUACGGAGGAUCCGAGCGUUAUCCGGAUUUAUUGGGUUUAAAGGGUGCGCAGGCGGCCAUUUAAGUCAGCGGUUAAAUCGUGGGGCUCAACCCCAUUCUGCCGUUGAUACUGGGUGGCUUGAUUGCGGUCGAGGUUGGCGGAAUUCGUUGUGUAGCGGUGAAAUGCAUAGGUAUGACGAAGAACACCGAUUGCGUAGGCAGCUGACCAGACCGCAAAUGACGCUCAUGCACGAAAGUGCGGGGAUCGAACAGGAUUAGAUACCCUGGUAGUCCGCACAGUAAACGAUGAAUACUUGUUUUCGGCGAUAUAAUGUCGGAGGCAAAGCGAAAGCGAUAAGUAUUCCACCUGGGGAGUACGCCGGCAACGGUGAAACUCAAAUGAAUUGGCGGGG